This 75-nucleotide transfer RNA is filed under the name Trebouxiophyceae sp. MX-AZ01. RNAcentral's name for it is "tRNA-Arg". It matches the Rfam family "tRNA". Rfam says of the family: Transfer RNA (tRNA) molecules are approximately 80 nucleotides in length. Their secondary structure includes four short double-helical elements and three loops (D, anti-codon, and T loops). Further hydrogen bonds mediate the characteristic L-shaped molecular structure. tRNAs have two regions of fundamental functional importance: the anti-codon, which is responsible for specific mRNA codon recognition, and the 3' end, to which the tRNAs corresponding amino acid is attached (by aminoacyl-tRNA synthetases). tRNAs cope with the degeneracy of the genetic code in two manners: having more than one tRNA (with a specific anti-codon) for a particular amino acid; and 'wobble' base-pairing, i.e. permitting non-standard base-pairing at the 3rd anti-codon position. The record is from RNAcentral. Lineage: Eukaryota; Viridiplantae; Chlorophyta; Trebouxiophyceae.
GCACUCUUAGCUCAGUCGGACAAGAGCGGCAGCCUUCUAAGCUGCGGGCCGCAGGUUCAAGUCCUGCAGAGUGCA